This 1546-nucleotide ribosomal RNA is filed under the name Klebsiella pneumoniae. RNAcentral's name for it is "bacterial SSU rRNA". It matches the Rfam family "Bacterial small subunit ribosomal RNA". Lineage: Bacteria; Pseudomonadati; Pseudomonadota; Gammaproteobacteria; Enterobacterales; Enterobacteriaceae. The record is from RNAcentral.
AAAUUGAAGAGUUUGAUCAUGGCUCAGAUUGAACGCUGGCGGCAGGCCUAACACAUGCAAGUCGAGCGGUAGCACAGAGAGCUUGCUCUCGGGUGACGAGCGGCGGACGGGUGAGUAAUGUCUGGGAAACUGCCUGAUGGAGGGGGAUAACUACUGGAAACGGUAGCUAAUACCGCAUAAUGUCGCAAGACCAAAGUGGGGGACCUUCGGGCCUCAUGCCAUCAGAUGUGCCCAGAUGGGAUUAGCUAGUAGGUGGGGUAACGGCUCACCUAGGCGACGAUCCCUAGCUGGUCUGAGAGGAUGACCAGCCACACUGGAACUGAGACACGGUCCAGACUCCUACGGGAGGCAGCAGUGGGGAAUAUUGCACAAUGGGCGCAAGCCUGAUGCAGCCAUGCCGCGUGUGUGAAGAAGGCCUUCGGGUUGUAAAGCACUUUCAGCGGGGAGGAAGGCGUUAAGGUUAAUAACCUUGGCGAUUGACGUUACCCGCAGAAGAAGCACCGGCUAACUCCGUGCCAGCAGCCGCGGUAAUACGGAGGGUGCAAGCGUUAAUCGGAAUUACUGGGCGUAAAGCGCACGCAGGCGGUCUGUCAAGUCGGAUGUGAAAUCCCCGGGCUCAACCUGGGAACUGCAUUCGAAACUGGCAGGCUAGAGUCUUGUAGAGGGGGGUAGAAUUCCAGGUGUAGCGGUGAAAUGCGUAGAGAUCUGGAGGAAUACCGGUGGCGAAGGCGGCCCCCUGGACAAAGACUGACGCUCAGGUGCGAAAGCGUGGGGAGCAAACAGGAUUAGAUACCCUGGUAGUCCACGCCGUAAACGAUGUCGAUUUGGAGGUUGUGCCCUUGAGGCGUGGCUUCCGGAGCUAACGCGUUAAAUCGACCGCCUGGGGAGUACGGCCGCAAGGUUAAAACUCAAAUGAAUUGACGGGGGCCCGCACAAGCGGUGGAGCAUGUGGUUUAAUUCGAUGCAACGCGAAGAACCUUACCUGGUCUUGACAUCCACAGAACUUUCCAGAGAUGGAUUGGUGCCUUCGGGAACUGUGAGACAGGUGCUGCAUGGCUGUCGUCAGCUCGUGUUGUGAAAUGUUGGGUUAAGUCCCGCAACGAGCGCAACCCUUAUCCUUUGUUGCCAGCGGUUAGGCCGGGAACUCAAAGGAGACUGCCAGUGAUAAACUGGAGGAAGGUGGGGAUGACGUCAAGUCAUCAUGGCCCUUACGACCGGGCUACACGUGCUACAAUGGCAUAUACAAAGAGAAGCGACCUCGCGAGAGCAAGCGGACCUCAUAAAGUAUGUCGUAGUCCGGAUUGAGUCUGCAACUCGACUCCAUGAAGUCGGAAUCGCUAGUAAUCGUAGAUCAGAAUGCUACGGUGAAUACGUUCCCGGGCCUUGUACACACCGCCCGUCACACCAUGGGAGUGGGUUGCAAAAGAAGUAGGUAGCUUAACCUUCGGGAGGGCGCUUACCACUUUGUGAUUCAUGACUGGGGUGAAGUCGUAACAAGGUAACCGUAGGGGAACCUGCGGUUGGAUCACCUCCUUACCUUAAAGAA